AAACUUUCAACAACGGAUCUCUUGGUUCUGGCAUCGAUGAAGAACGCAGCGAAAUGCGAUAAGUAAUGUGAAUUGCAAAAUUCAGUGAAUCAUCGAAUCUUUGAACGCACAUUGCGCCCCCUGGUAUUCCGGGGGGCAUGCCUGUUCGAGCGUCAUU
RNAcentral lists this ribosomal RNA (157 nucleotides) under Uwebraunia communis. RNAcentral's name for it is "5.8S ribosomal RNA". It matches the Rfam family "5.8S ribosomal RNA". From Rfam's summary of the family: 5.8S ribosomal RNA (5.8S rRNA) is a component of the large subunit of the eukaryotic ribosome. It is transcribed by RNA polymerase I as part of the 45S precursor that also contains 18S and 28S rRNA. Functionally, it is thought that 5.8S rRNA may be involved in ribosome translocation. Lineage: Eukaryota; Fungi; Ascomycota; Dothideomycetes; Mycosphaerellales; Dissoconiaceae. The record is from RNAcentral.